AUCCGGAUCCAGAUUUUAUUAAAUUGAAAUACAUUGAUAUAUUAACUCUUACUAAAUCAGAGGAGUCAAUCCUAUAUUGACUCAUGCAUCGAUUUGACAAAUACUUGACUGUAUCCAUAAAUCUUUUAUUACUGAAUUAAAAAUUCAGAUAGUCUGAUACCAAAGUAUAGUGAGUUGCUUGCAAGUCACCGUGAUGAUCUCAGGUUGGAGGGACACUUUUACCGAUAUACUUCGCGAGUAACUCUUGACAGCAGAGUGCUUCGUAGUUGGUCACGUUCAGUGACGAUGUACUCCUACAUCUUACCUGUAUGCCAUACCAAUAUCUUCACACCAUUUGGUUAUGAGGACAAUCAAUGUAUAUAGCACACAACAACCUACAUUUGAUAUCGCUAUCGUCCUAAUAAUAGCGUAUCGUUUAGUCAUGAACCAGUUUAAGAACUAUACAAUAAAUCUUUCUUUAUCGAUUAAAAUAGUCCUAAGAACUUCACAUAAUACAGGAGUUCGUUAGAAGAUGCAACUUUAUGAUGAAAAAGAUCAAAUAAUUUUUAUUAUUGAUCAAUUUAUAUAUAUUUAUAAUUAGCAUAAUCAUCAAAUGAUUAGUUUUAGGAUAUAUUUUUCAACAAAAAAUAUGAACACGUACAUCCUUAUAUUCGAGAAAUAACUUGAGAUACUCCUUUCGUCUGAUUUUCAGACUCAGAAGUAGGGGGUAGUGUUACGAUAGUAUCCUAAAUGCCUCAGAUCUAGCAUGUUGUCUUUGAUACCUCAGAUCAGUGGGUUAUCCACACAGUCAUCGGCUCAAGCGCAGAAUUGAGGUACGUAGAGUAGAACUAUUUAUUUCUGAUCUAUGGUAUGGGCUAUUUGCCUUGGCUAGCCUUCCAUAGCCUCAAUCGAUCUGCUCCCGAGCACGUACUGUAGCUGUCCACCCCGAGUGGAUAGGCUCAAGCAUAACCAACUCUCCUGAUUUUGCAGGAACGAUUAAGGGCUGAAAUAUCUCGACUACUACGGCAUGUUAAAUUGCCCUGCAAUCUUGAAAUUGUAUGAUCUUACAACUAUUCAACUAGCUAUUUGAUGACAUUCUUUAUAAAUCACCAAAGUCUCGAGGAUCGAGGUAAGUUAAGCAAUCUCUCUCAGAGACUCUGUUGCUGCUCUCUUUGUUCUCUAAAUCUGACUUGAGCAUCGGAGGAUCCUUGUAGGAGCGAAAAUCUUCUGUUCGGACUUUUUUUGCAGGUCACUCUAGUACUCCCUGCAUGAGGACCAGACAUCCAUUUUCUGACCUAGUCGAAACAAGCAAAAGCAAAGCCUAAUCAAACCAUUUGUAGUU
Molecule: long non-coding RNA, 1321 nt
Filed under: Elaeis guineensis (African oil palm)
Lineage: Eukaryota; Viridiplantae; Streptophyta; Magnoliopsida; Arecales; Arecaceae
Description: long non-coding RNA (EGUI_LNC004432)
Source: RNAcentral